Long non-coding RNA from Canis lupus familiaris (dog), 281 nucleotides. RefSeq lists it as uncharacterized. Lineage: Eukaryota; Metazoa; Chordata; Mammalia; Carnivora; Canidae. The transcript has 4 exons. The record is from RefSeq and is a predicted model, not a curated record.
CCCGGGAGCGUCGGGAGGGCCGCGGCCCCGGGAGCCGCAAGGAGGCCGGCGGCCGGAGCCCGCCCCAGCCCCCACCCCGCGGGUAACCUUGGAGCCGCCCUGGGGCAUUUAACCUGAAAAUACACUUCCAAGAUAGGAGAAAGACAUGCACAAAUAUUUCAUUAUGUCUUUGGCUGUUGGGAGUCCUUUCAGAUGGCUAUGUCAGCCCUUCAACAUACUCUCAUCACUUGGGAAUCAGUGGGGAUGCCUGCGUGGCUCAGUGGUUUAGCGCCUGCCUUCAU